Molecule: long non-coding RNA, 1455 nt
Organism: Anthonomus grandis grandis
Lineage: Eukaryota; Metazoa; Arthropoda; Insecta; Coleoptera; Curculionidae
Exons: 2
Source: RefSeq, a predicted model, not a curated record
ACGCAAAAGCACAAAAUAUCUAUUCUAACACACCAAAUUAUUUAAAAAAUGCUAAUAUUGGGUGGCAACUAAAUAAUGGGACAGUAUCAAGUCACGAGUUAAAAAUGAUACCAGAUAAGACAAGUUGGCUACAAAAACAAUUAAUAAACAAUGUUGCCAGGGGUGACAGACACAUUUGUUUAUUUUGAAAUUGCUUCGCUGUCAGUUUGGGUAACUCAAACACUUCUUUAUUAAUUAAAAUGGUGCGUGGUAUCUCGACAAAUUCAAAAAUUCGCGAGUUGGUGGUUAAAAAUUAUUCCCGAAACAAAAGAAUACGUGAAGUGGCGGAUGAACUAAAUAUUCCUAAAAGUACUGUGUUUAAUAUAAUAAAGCAUUAUGGGGAAACUGGAGGAAUUUUACAUAAGAAAAGGAAUAGCCCAGGUCGCCCAAAAUUAGUUUCUGAUAGGGAUAAAAGAAUGCUUGUUAAAUUAUGCAAAAAAGGUCGAAGAAAUACAGUACGGCAGGUAACGUCAGAAUGGAAUCAUGAAACUGGGCAUAAUUUGUCAAGAGAAUGUUGUCGCAAGUGGAUUCAUAAAUGCGGAUUGAAGUUUUACAAGGCAAAGGAAAAACCGCUUUUAACAGCAAAACAAAAGAAAGCCAGGCUGCAAAAUCUAAAUUGUCCUGGUCAGUAGAAGAUUGGUCCCGCGUAAUUUUUAGCGAUGAAUCAAAAUUCGACGUAUGUGUUGGUGAUUACCGAAAACGUGUGAUUCGCACAAAAAAUGAUGCUUUCCAUAAGGACUGUUUAAAACGUACAGUAAAGUUUCCUAAAGGAAUCAUGAUUUGGGGUUGCAUGACACUUGGAGGAUUAGGGUGUUUUGAGUUUAUAAAGGGCACCGUAAAUGCUGCAAAAUACCAACAAAUUCUACAAAAUAGCCUACUUCCAAGUAUCGCGAAAUUAACAGUUAAUGAAAAUUACAUAUUUCAGCAGGAUGGGGCUGCAUGUCAUACGGCCAAAACUACAAAAAAGUGGUUUGGGGACCACCACAUAAACUGCCUUUCUUGGCCUUCUAACAGCCCAGACCUUAAUGUCAUUGAAAGAGUAUGGCAUAAAAUGAAACAGACAUUAAGGAACAACCCUCAAAAAACAUUGCCAGAACUUAAGGCCAAAAUAGAGCAGAUUUGGAAUGAAUUUACCCCCGAACAGUGUAAGGCCUUAGUCCAAUCAAUGCCCAAAAGAAUUCAAGCAGUUAUACAAUCUAAGGGCGACGUUACUCCAUUUUAAAAAUUGAAGUUCGCGUUUGUCCCAUUAUUUAGUUGCCACCCAAUAUUAGCAUUUUUUAAAUAAUUUGGUGUGUUAGAAUAGAUAAUUUGUGUUUUUGCGUUCCUAAUGAAUCGAUUUUGUUAUUAAUUAACUGUUUAAACAAUAUGACAUUAAAAAAAGCAAGUUUAGAAAAUAGAAGUAUAUUAAAAAUUAAA